Long non-coding RNA from Ictalurus punctatus (channel catfish), 2459 nucleotides. RefSeq lists it as uncharacterized. The record is from RefSeq and is a predicted model, not a curated record. Lineage: Eukaryota; Metazoa; Chordata; Actinopteri; Siluriformes; Ictaluridae. The transcript is spliced from 7 exons.
CUGGCGUUCAUGGGCGUGACUAACCGCGUCUGUCUGUUAAAGGUAGCAGGUUGUACAUGGCGAGCGGGUUACUCACUGAGGGUUGGUGAUUGGUGUAAUGGAAGCCGUCUCUGAACCGCAUUUAAUGACGGAGAACUACAGGAGUGGAGAGAAAACGCAGCACUGAGCAACUUGUAGACUUCACACCCGACUGUAGAAUCCCUUCUAUUGUGUGCUGGAAGAUCGCUGGACUUGAAGCAACUCCAAAUGGUGGCCUGUUUGUCCAAAGCCCAGGCUGACCCCCCACCCCUUCAACCUUUGCAGCAAUGCUGGCAGCACUAUUUCCCAAAGACAACCUCUGGAUAUGACGCUGAGCACGUGCAAUCAACUUCUUCUUUGGUCGACCAUGGCGAGGCCUGUUCUGAGUGGAACCUGUCCUGUUAAACCGCUGUAUGGUCUGGGCCACCGUGCUGCAGCUCAGUGUCAGGGUCUUGUGCCCAACGCCCGUGGUGGUGGCAGUGCAUGGCGUGUGUGUGGAAGCAGGAGUGGAUCUAAUCACAGCCUGUGAUAUUCGUCUGUGCACACAGGAUGCCUGGUUUCAGGUGAAGUCGUGUGUUCCCUGAUAGUACAUGAUUGCUGGAGCUCUGGAAAUAGCAGGUGAGAUUGCAGGCCGGAGUCGCGUCACUGUCCAAGGAACCAAAAUCAACCUCCUCUGCUCCUGAGACCACAGUGUAACUGAGAGCCUAGACUACAUGGCUACUUGGAACAUGAACAUGUUGCAGACACAGGAUCUUAUGAAGUCAGCGCAGGCAGCCCUGGAAAAGAAGAGUCCGAAAGACGUGCCCUUCUCCAAGCUUUAAAGGAGAAGAUCCAGGGCUGUUGAAGCUGCGGUGGAACUGAGACAUCAUCAUCCACAUAUCUUUAGUUCUUCUUGCUAAGUCUGUUUCUUUUUAGUCUUUUUAUUUUUAGACUGGUCAAAAGACUGAUUAGUGGAAGUGAAAUGAUAGAUGAACUUUUAUUUACUUGCUUUAUUAUUUGCAGGUGCCUUGUACAGUAAGACAGGGUAACUAAUACUCAAAAGCUUUUUUUGUGUGUUAACAUGUACAGUAGAUGGACAUAUUUUUUCUGGUGCUGUGACUGCAGAAUGUAGUGCAGUUAACACAUAAAAUUUCCUUGGAUGCUCACUUUUAACUCUAGGAGGUCACAGUUUGCCCAGACAUCUUUUUUUAAAUCCGUCAAUCCGUCACCCACACGUCAUUCUGGGGGACGAAGAGGAGGAAGCUGGACAGAUAAAUUUAUUUAUUUAUUUAUCAUUGCUGUGUUUCCUUAAUCGAGUGCAGAAAGAAGAAAAACAACACAACUGAUUUAAAAUAAAAAUAUAGAAAAUAAUCUAAUGUAAGAUUCUGAUCCGGUUUGCUUUCAGCAGGAAGGCUGUCCUCUUUCCUGUUGCUCUUUCUCUUCUAUUAGUCCAUUUGUCCAGUCUGAAUCAGUUUUGAUUCGUUUCGAGACGAUUCGGAGUCGAAUAAUUUUCUAGUGAGAGUCGCACACUUCCAAACGAACUAGACUGAGAUGAGUAUUUGAUUCUCACUAGAAAGUGAUUCGACUCUGAAUAAACUCGAAAUGAAUCAGUCAAACUGAUCCAGACUCUAUAAAAGGACUAUGAGAUGUGAUUAAGAUAUAUAUUCCAAUGUUUUGCUUUACAAUUCCAUUGUGUGUGUGUGUGUGUGUGUGUGUGUGUGUGUAUGUGUGUGCGUGCGCGCGCACGUGUGUUUUUCAGGAGAACGAGAAACUCGGACACAACAGUACAUCCUGACCAUUGGUACUGUGUACACAUCAACAUACACACACGUCUCCAUGCUGGACAUCUCAGGAGCUUUCACACAGUGCUAGGAAUAUCCCGGGACAGAGAAACGCACCUUCUAAGUGAGCGAGUUUAGCGUCAACCGGUGAAAUUUGCUGUAGCGUGAACACUUCGCCUCUGUGAGCUUCACUCUCCGUAGGGUUCACUGUAAUUAGACAUAAAAUGUACAUAGUUUAUUUUUCAUGCAUUUAGGAUUUAAUGUUUUUUUUUUUUUUUACUCUUCGAGGAACAGAAAUGAUCUUUCGAGGCAGCUUCUUCAUCACUACCUGCUCCGUUUGACUCAAAAAUGUAACGACCGGUUUCAAAAAGUCACGAUGUCUUCAGUUCAUGAGAUUUUACUGUUGAAUUUAAACAGGAAAUGUGAAAUAUUUUUCCCUUUGUUUCCUCUACUGUCUUUUUGCUGUGAUCUUGAACACAGUUGUAAUUUUUUUAAAAAAAAUAAUUAAAAAAAUGAUAAUUCUAGUUCUCUCACUUUCCUUGUCCUAAUUGUCCUGUAUCUGUUAAAUCCGUUUCAUCUCUGGUCUUUCUGUCUGUAUGAACACUUGUAGAAAUGACUUCUAGUCCAUAUUUUUAAAUGAUUCGUGAUUUUGAAUUUAAAUAAAGAUAUUCUUUAAUUCUG